Long non-coding RNA from Chelonia mydas (Green sea turtle), 6973 nucleotides. RefSeq lists it as uncharacterized. NCBI's taxonomy places the organism in Eukaryota, Metazoa, Chordata, Testudines, Cheloniidae. The record is from RefSeq and is a predicted model, not a curated record. The transcript has 3 exons.
UAGUCUCUAAGGUGCCACAAGCACUCCUUUUCUUUUUGUGAAUACAGACUAACACGGCUGCUACUCUGAAACCUAUACUUCUUUUCUGUGUCUCUUAAUACAAGGUUAAAGGAUUUUAAAUGGUGUUUGCCAUGGUGCAAAGCAGCCUGAGGUCUCUGUGUACUGAACCAUGAACCUUUAAUGUUGGACAGUGACUGGGUUAUGUUAACAUCUCUGGCCCAUUUAUUCCAUCUAAAUCAAUACAACAGUGCCUCCCAUAAAGAGGGCAGCUGCCAGCUUCUCUUUAGAAAACACGAGUACGGGCUUUGUUCAGGAAGCCAUGUUUUGACCUUGACAAUAUGGCUAAUCACUGCUCUGUAUCUAAUCUUCCCUCUGUGGUUAAGAUUAUUGAAAGGUUGUGUUAUUGCAGCCCUCACAGUCUCUAGUUGCCUCAGAGUUCCUUGACCUCUGUGAAUAUGGGUAUGCAUAACGACUACUUGUGGUGAUCAAUGAGAAACAAGUGUCCAUGCCAGUAUUACAAAGUGAACUGGAUUGAAUACAAGGCCAUUCGAAGGAGAACAAGGAAGUACUGGUUGUGGUGCCUUCAGGAUGAAACCCAGCUUUAUGUUUCUCUCUCUUCCAACUCAGGUGGAGCAGAUGAAUGCCUUUUCCAGUGACUGGGUGAGAUGGAACACCAACAGUUAGUAAAGACACAGGUGAUGUUGGUUAACUGAGGAAAGCAAAUGGAAGAUCUGACUGAAAGGAUCUGGCCACCAUUUGUAGCUUGUAUUGGCUACCUCAGAAUCUGAUUGGAUUCCCAGUUAUUGUUGGAUGAUCGCAUUUCAGCAGCGGCUGCACAGCCCUCUUUUAUUUGUGGCUAACCAAGAAGUUGUGACCUUGUAUUUUGGACGUGGGCUUGGCCACUUAUCUAUGGCUUUGUCAACUCCCUCUCAGACUAUUACAAUGUGUUCCCUACUUGAAGUUAACUCUUAAAUCCAUUCAGAAACUGAAGCGAGUACAGAAUUCAGUAGCCUACUUUUUAAGCAGAGUAUCUCACCUCAAGUACAUUUCACUAGUGCUUCAUUAUCUUCACAGGCUGCCUUUGGGGGUUCUGGGAGCACUUUAAGGUAUUAAUUUUGACCUAUAAAGCCAUGUUAAAUGGCCUGGGGCCUUCUUACCUGAGAGACCCACUCCCCUAUGCCGUACUGCAACAACUGAGAUCAGCAGAGGCAUUCAAGCUGCAGCUUCCUUGGUUGAGAGAGAAGCAGCUUCUUGCAGGGCACUUUCUGUGAAAACACCCCAACUUUCAAGCUUUUACACCUACCAAUCUGAUACAGCCUAAUCUGUGGACCUUCAGGGUAUGCUGCAAAGUUCACCUUUUUACUGGCUUUUGGGGGCAGGGGAGAGUAGAGAGAGGAUGGAAUGGUCCCCUGAAGGGUAAUACUGGAAGGAGGGGGGAGGGGAGGGUGAUAUCUUUUUGAUGUAUAGGAUAGCUGUUUACUUCUGAUUUAUAGUAGAGUUUGCUUCUGGUUUUCCCUUAAGUGUCAAGGGUGCCAAGUGUCUGGGGUAGGUACAUUAGAAUUCUAAAGAAGUAAAAUAAAUAUUUGUCAAUUUUGUAGGGCUAAUAUGUAGUGUUAUCAGAACAUAUAUUGUAAUGUUCUGUGCUUGGCAUGAUAGUUAUAAACAGCAUUUCCCCGGCUAAAGACAGAUCAAUGAGUCAUUUUAAUCCAACAAGGUUUUCAAAAAAUAACCCAGUGAUUCAUAAAGUAGAUUCCUUCUCUUUUUAGGAUGGUUCAUGGGAAUUGUGAGAUUCUGCAGCUCUUCCCUUGUUCCCAAAACGGAAUGUCAGUGCAACAAUGUAUACAAAUUAAAUCACAUCUCUCUGAAAUACACCGUGGAAAAUGGGAGAAAUGAGCUGUUUAUCUUAGAAAGCUUUAAUCAGUAUGUAAGAGUAACUUAUCAAUAGGUGAAUAGAAACAUUUAUUAAAAAUGAAAACAACCUACAGAUUUGGCAGCCUGCUCACUGCAGGUCAAAAAUCAAACACAGCAAGCGGUUUGAACAACUGUAUGUGGAAUCAUGCUCAGUUCUUUCCCACUCUCACCAAUGAAAACAAAUCCUCACUCUUUCCCUUUCGCAAUUAUUAGAAGUUAAAGAAAAAAAAUGAAAAUGAAGACUAAACAAGCAAUCACUGGCCAAUGUAAAGCGGUCCACACAGCUGCAACAAAUGUGUGGUUUGCAUUUUACAAUGAAAACACCAAGCACAGCACUGGUUUAGGAGAACACAUUAGCAUUUGCACAAUAUGCUCCACUUUUACUCACAGCAUCAUGCUUUCUGGAGCCUCCCCUAUCAUCAGCACCAGUGGGGAAAACAAGGUGAAUCAGCCAAGUCUACUAAUCAGUAAAAGGAAGCACAAGUAGACAAUUACUCAGUAUAUUACAAUUCCUUAUACAAAAAAGGGUGCCAACAUGCUUUACGAACAACUGGAGAAAGGGUUCCAGCUCCAAACUUACAAAUUAAACAGACAACAUAACAUUUAGGAUGGGGGUAAGAUGCAUAAAACAAACAAACAAGAAACGGGGGUAAAUAUACGUGUGUGCUUUGAGAGUCUCAAUGAUUUUGUGCUAUUUGUAAAUACUGCAGUUGAUUUUGUUAAUCUUACUGAAGUGAGAACUACAGAGAUGUAGGCUCACUGGAAAUAAUAUGUUUUAAGGAGAGACUUGGAGGUGAAGAGGGUAGAGGCAUGGCAUAUCAGGCAGGGAGGGAAUUUCAGGCAUAAGGGGCUUUGUGGAAAGUGCACAGAUGAGACUGAGAGAACAUGUAAGAGGCAGUUAAUUGUAUGGCUUGUGCAACAACAGGGAAUCACAAUGGUGAAUCCAGUACAGACAUUUGUUUUAUCCUUCCAAACAAAUCAGCUAGGUCUAAGUUCCAAGUGGCAUGUCAAAGGCAGUAAAAAUUAAUCUAGGGAGAUUUUGUACCUGUACAAGAGAGAAAAUUAUUAGUCCUAAGGGGCAGAAGGGAGGGACAGACAAAUAAUGUGGGGGUAGAGGAGAAAAUAUAAACCUCUGUCAUUCAGUAAGUCCAAUUCCAUCUCUACUUCCUCACAACAUGUGUCUUUAGGAGUAUGAUCCGGCCCAAGAACAGCAGUAAAGGCUAAGGGACAGGAAAAAGGAGCAGGGAAAUAGGCUUAGGUACCAGAGGCAGUAAAAGGAAAAAUGUAAAUCAGACAACCAGAAGAGCAUCAAGGAGAAAGUCACAGAGGCUUGGUACUGGCAAUGGUUCUCAACUUUUUUGGGUUCAGGACCCAUUUGUAAAUGUUUAUGGCCUGUCAAGACCCAGAAAAUAGUCCGGGGGUAGAGGCCCUGGGGUGGUUUUGGUUGGAUCCUGCCCCCCGGGAGGCUUGGGUCCUGCCUGGCACUCACCCCACAGUGGCAGCUUCUGUGCUGAGGGGCUGGCUAAACUUUGCUCUCUGCUCCAGGUAUUGCAACCUCUGGGGUUGCAAUGCCCCAGCCCCAUGACUGGACCAAAUUUGUUUGAGUGGCGUUAUGACCUGGCUCAUAGGGUUGCAGUGUCACUCGCUCAAAUUUGAUCUACCUGGACUCCUGUCAUGAUGGCUGGGGCAAACCUGACUGGCGGCACUCGGACCCCAGAGGUUGCAGUGCCUGGAGCAUGAGAUAGGAGACACAGGAGCUGCCACACAACCCUUUGAAACGUUCUGGCGACCCAAUUUUGGGUCCCAACCCACUGGGUAAAAAACCCUGAACUAGAGCCUCAAUGAGAACUAGGGGGAAAGAAAACUACCUCUGCAGCAGUGGGCACUUGCAGGUUUAAACUAUUGUAAAUGGUGGAGUCUCUGUUCACUUGAAGUCUUUAAAUCAUAAUUUGAGGACUUCAGUAACUCAGCUAGAGGUUAUAGCUCUAUUACAGGAGAGGGUGGAUGAGGUUCUGUGACCUGCAAGGUGCAAGAGGUCAGACAAGAUGAUCAUGAUGGUCCCUUCUGGCCUUAAAGUCCAUGAGUCUACAUAAGAAGGGAAUGAGGACAGUUUUGUACCCUAAUCUUUUUGCUUAGAAACAUUCCCAUCAAUACAGAAUAUGAAGUUUCUUCUUCAUCACUAUGCAGGGUUCACAGAGAUGGACCAAGAAAAUGGUGUUUGCAUCUGGAUUAAGUUUAGAUUUAGUUUUGGGUUAGUCAGCACCAACUUGUUCUUGUGCAACUUUGCUCCAAAGAAAGAUGGAAGUUUUAGAAAGUCAGUUGUUCAUUUGAAUCUUGGCUGCAUCCAGACUAGGAUACAUAUCCCCUUCUAGUGUUGGAUUUGAUGUGAAACAAAAAUUGUACGAAUAGGCAUGGAUAAAGAAAAUUCAAAUAUAUAGCCUGGCCCAAAUUCAUCAUUCUAAUUCUGGCCAUCUCUAUUUACAUUAUAACUGAGCAGGAAAAUUAGCAGAGUAGAAGUACCAGGAAAGGGUAAAUUGGAUAGGAGGUGAAGCACAAGUUGGAGACCUAUUGAUAUUAAAAACAUGAACUAGAAAAGGACAGUUAAUAGCAGCAAAUGGGAUCACAAAGCAGCACAGGAAAGGAUUGCUCUCCGUAAUAAGACUACAUGAGACACACACAUAGAACAAAAUUCAAACAGACAAUUAGGCCAGAUCUACACUGCAAAAAAUUUUAAGUGAUUGCAAUAAUGCUUAAAUAACCAAAGGAAGUUUUAAUUCAGAAAAUCUUAAAUAUUUAAGAAUGACAUUGCCAUUACAUAGAGUGCCAGUUGUGCAUUUGGCUCCAGAGGGCUAUGCAACAGAGAAUUCUAAUAAAAAGAAUUACAGAAAAUGCAACAAUGGCCAAAAUGUUAAAUGCCUUUUAGCUUUAGUUUUCACCCAAAAAAUUAGCAGUGAUUGGACAACUAAACAGCGAACAUCAGCAUAAAUGGGAUAGGAUCUGAGGCUAAAAUAGGAAAAGAACAAGUUAAGAAUUACUUAGACAAGUUAGAGGUCUUCAUAUCAGCUGGGCCGGAUGAAAUAAUCCUAGAAUACUUAAGGAUCCGGCAGAAGAGAUCUAUGAGCCAUUAGUGAUUAUCUUUGAGAACAUGUGGAAAACAGAAGAGAUCCAAGAGGACUGGAAAAGGGAACUAUAGUACCUAGCAUGAAAAAGAUGAAUAAGGACAACCGAUGGAAUCACAGACAAGUCAGCUUAACUUUGGUACCCGGAAAGAUAAAAGGAGCAAAUAAUCAAACAAUCCAUCUGUAAGUACCUAGACAAAAAUAAGGUAAUAAAUAACAGUUAACAGUCAAGAACAUAUGUCAACCCAACCUAAUAUCCUUUUUUGACAGGGUAACAAGCCUUGUGGAUAGAGGGGAAGCAGUAGAUGUAAUAUAUCUUGACUUUAGUAAGGCUUUAGACACUAUUUUACAUGACCUCUUAAGCAAACUAUGGAAAUAUUGCUUAGAUGAACCUCCUAUAAGGUGGCUGCACAACUGGUUGGAAAAGCAUACUCAAGAAAUCUCCUUGGUUUUCUGACAGCCUGAUCCAGAUGACAAGAAGAAAAUGGCACAAAACAAGAAGAUUAAACAUCAGUGGCAUCUAGCCCUUCUAUGUGAAGCUAAAGUGCUGCAAUAGAUCUCAUCAAAUGAGAAGGUUAAGAGAUGAUGUCAUCAAAGUCUGUAAAUACCUACGUGGACAAAAUUUUUAACAGUAGAAGAUUCUUUAAUGGACAAAGACAUAACAAAAUCUAAUCUCUGGAAGCUGAAGCUAGACAAAUUCAGACUAGAAAUAAGGUUCAAAUUUUUAACAUAAGGAUAAUUAAUCACUGGAACAGCUUUUCUACGGAUGUCAUGGAUUAUCCAUCAUUUGAAGUCUUUAAAUCAAGAUUGGAUAUCCUUCAUAACAUAUUCUGCAACUCCGCCAGAAGUUAUGGGCUUGAUCCAGGAAUUAUUGGUGAAAUUCUAUGGUCUGUGUUAUAAAGGAGGUCAGAUUAGAAGACCACAUAGUCCCCUUCUGGCUUUAAAAUGUAUGAAUCAUAAUUAUGACCUCAAAUUUUUUUAAGGUCUUAAUAAUACAUUACACACUUUCAAACUGACAGUAUGUCUUUCAAUAAAAUAAUAAUCUCCCCAAGGUCAGAAUCUGAGUACAUUUUAACCAACUGAAUGCAAGUGAAUUUGUAUCACAAGUGAGAGGAAGUUUGUCAUAUUGUUGAAGAGUCUGGGUUUAUUUUACUGAUUGCGUUGAUUGGAAAUUCAUUAGUUAUUACUAUUAUUUAUUAUUUGAGUGACUAAGUUAUUAAGAGUUGUGUGUUGUGCAUUCCCUUUUAGCUUUAAGUGAGUGUGGGGGAGGGGGUAGCAGACAACACAGCACAGGUAGUAAUCUUGGUGGAGAUAGAGAAAGUAGAGGCUUGGGAAUGGGGAGGGCAGCAGAGAGGUUGUGUGGUGAUGUCCCAGGGUAGCAGGGAUUGCAAGUUGUAAGUAUGUAAGCAGGAGUGGGGUAUAAAGGUGAUAUCGGAGUUUGAGGAGCUCAGGUAAUGAGGUGAGUGGGGCUUCGUACAGGAGGAGAAGCAAAAAGGCAGAUAAGGAUUAAAGCUUUUCCUGCCUUCUCUGCCCGCAGAUUACAAUGAUUAGCAACACAGAGGCCCUUCUUCCUGGCAAGCCGUAACAAGUGCUACACACCUCCAUGCUCCCCCACAUUCCAACUCUUUCCCCAUCCCCUGCAAAUGAUGCAUUAACUUCCUGCUAGUUCCCAAAACUGCUGAGCUGCACGGUAUUUGGCAACAUGAGUCCCAUUGUGAUUCUUCUCCUACAGAGGAGUGCAGCAGAUUUCUGGCAAUGGAAAACCACAAAAGGCUUGUCAAAUCCAGACCGUGCCCUCUUUUUUUUAAAAUGAAGGUGCAACCUUGUUUUGUCAGCACAGUUUAGCUGAACCCCCUCCUUUUCACCAGCCCCCUCCCACUACUUCAGUCUCUAAUAAUGAGAGUGUCCCGGAGAAGAGGUGGUUACAGCAAUUUGGGCCAACA